Molecule: non-coding RNA, 82 nt
Organism: Podarcis lilfordi (Lilford's wall lizard)
Lineage: Eukaryota; Metazoa; Chordata; Lepidosauria; Squamata; Lacertidae
Source: the annotation of a GenBank genome assembly
GCAGAUGGAUAGCUCAACCUGUUAGAGUGUGGUGCUGAUAACGCCAAGGUUGCAGGUUUGAUCCCCGUAUGGGUCAGCUGCA